Molecule: ribosomal RNA, 685 nt
Filed under: Pantoea dispersa
Lineage: Bacteria; Pseudomonadati; Pseudomonadota; Gammaproteobacteria; Enterobacterales; Erwiniaceae
Description: bacterial SSU rRNA
Rfam family: Bacterial small subunit ribosomal RNA
Source: RNAcentral
GCUCUCCGGGUGACGAGUGGCGGACGGGUGAGUAAUGUCUGGGAAACUGCCCGAUGGAGGGGGAUAACUACUGGAAACGGUAGCUAAUACCGCAUAACGUCGCAAGACCAAAGUGGGGGACCUUCGGGCCUCACACCAUCGGAUGUGCCCAGAUGGGAUUAGCUAGUAGGCGGGGUAAUGGCCCACCUAGGCGACGAUCCCUAGCUGGUCUGAGAGGAUGACCAGCCACACUGGAACUGAGACACGGUCCAGACUCCUACGGGAGGCAGCAGUGGGGAAUAUUGCACAAUGGGCGCAAGCCUGAUGCAGCCAUGCCGCGUGUAUGAAGAAGGCCUUCGGGUUGUAAAGUACUUUCAGCGGGGAGGAAGGCGAUGCGGUUAAUAACCGCGUCGAUUGACGUUACCCGCAGAAGAAGCACCGGCUAACUCCGUGCCAGCAGCCGCGGUAAUACGGAGGGUGCAAGCGUUAAUCGGAAUUACUGGGCGUAAAGCGCACGCAGGCGGUCUGUUAAGUCAGAUGUGAAAUCCCCGGGCUCAACCCGGGAACUGCAUUUGAAACUGGCAGGCUUGAGUCUCGUAGAGGGGGGUAGAAUUCCAGGUGUAGCGGUGAAAUGCGUAGAGAUCUGGAGGAAUACCGGUGGCGAAGGCGGCCCCCUGGACGAAGACUGACGCUCAGGUGCGAAAGC